This 1386-nucleotide ribosomal RNA is filed under the name Triticum aestivum (bread wheat). Its description in RNAcentral is "partial small subunit ribosomal RNA". The record is from RNAcentral. Lineage: Eukaryota; Viridiplantae; Streptophyta; Magnoliopsida; Poales; Poaceae.
AUGGUGCACUUCAGGGCUCGCCGAAGCGCACCGGAGCUGGUGGCGCCGGCGCGGCCGACGCCCCACGAGGCCAAGACGCUCUCCGACAUCGACGACUUCUCCGAGUGCCGGUACUACGCCUCCGCGAUCGACUUCUUUAGCCACGACCCGACGGUGGACAACCUCCACCCAGCCAGAUCAAUCGUGGCGGCCCUGGCAGAGGCGCUUGUUUACUACCACCCGAUCGCUGGCCGCCUCCGGGAGAUCCCCGGCGGCAAGCUCGUGGUUGACUGCACUGGCGAAGGGGUGGUGUUCGUGGAGGCCGACGCCGACGUGUCGCUCGAGGAGCUCGGCGGGCAGCCCCCCUAUCCGUGCGCCGAGGAGUUUGUCUGCGCUGGCGUGGUCGAGGGCGGCAGUGGCGCCGUCGUCGUAGUUGGCCGACCGCUCUUCUACAUGCAGGUGACGAGACUAAAAGACGGUGCAUUUGUGCUGGGUUUCCAAGUGUGCCAUGUCAUCGCCGACGCCGCCGGCGUGACGCAGUUCAUCGGGGCGAUAGCCGAGUUGGCACGCGGCGAAGCACAUCCGUCCGUAUCGCCAGUGUGGGAGAGGGAGAUCUUCAAGGCGCGUGACCCACCUCGCGUCCGGCAUGGUGUCUACCCAGCGUAUGACCCAUCGUCGCCAAGUAGAACUGUCCUCGGUGACCACGACGACGUUGACGAUCCUAUGCUGUCGACGCCGACGGAAGAAAUGGUUGGGCGAUACCUGCGCUUUGGCCCGAAGGAGGUCGCCGCUCUACGAAUGCAUCUGGAUGCGGCGCAGCCAUGCACGACGUUCGAGCUCUUAACUGCUUUCCUGUGGAGAUGCCGCACGGCGGCGCUGGGCUACCGUUCCUGGCAACGCGUCCGGCUCGUGUUGCGUGUGGACGCGCGUGGCAACCGCCGGUGCAAGCUCGACCCGCCGAUCCCGAGAGGGUACUACGGCAACGCCGUCCUCCGGCCGAUGGCAGAGGCCGGAGUCGAGGAUCUCUGCAGCAGGCCUCUGGGGCACGCUGUAGGGCUCGUGCGGAAGGCGAAGCUCUGCGCCACGGAGGAGCACUUCAGGUCCAUGGUGGACAUGAUGGCGUCGGCGCGCAUGGCCGAGCGGUUGGUAGCGAGUCGGCGAGUGUUCCAUGUGUCUGACCUCACUCGGCUCGGGCAGGCGGAUAAAUUUAAUUUUGGUUGGGCCAGAAGGGUUGGUGGUGGGUUGCCGAGGAUAGGGAUCUCAAGCUUUCUCAUGGCUUGCAAGAACGAGCAUGGCGAGGACACAAUUGUAGUGCCCAUGUUAUUGCCCAGACAUGCCACGGAGAGGCUGGCAAAGGAGAUAUCCAUGUGGGUUGGAGAUAAGUUUGUUAUACGCAGCUCCAUGUGA